Molecule: small nucleolar RNA, 189 nt
Organism: Megalops cyprinoides (Indo-Pacific tarpon)
Lineage: Eukaryota; Metazoa; Chordata; Actinopteri; Elopiformes; Megalopidae
Product: small nucleolar RNA SNORD97
Exons: 1
Source: RefSeq, a predicted model, not a curated record
AUGCCCUGUGAUUAUAAAAAGACGCGUUAUUCUGAGGGUGAAAACCCGCUGCCAGCUCUCUCUUCAGUCUUGUCUUUUUAUUCAUCCCUUUCCUCAACUCUUCCCACCGUCUCUCCCCUCCCCAUCUUAUUGUUUCACCUCUUUACUGGCAACUGGUCCGCUGAACGUGAUUAUGAGAUAUGAGGGCAU